GGAAAUAUACCCCACAAUUUUUAAAACCAAAUCCCUCUCUUCCAAUAUAGCCCGAUUCCCAAACAACAAAAGAGUAAAAAAAAAUGAAAAAAAACAAAAAUUAAGCAGACAAAAAGGUUCUUGGAUAUAGAAUAGAUGAAUGUAGGGUGAGGAGAACUUUCAAAGAUGAUGCUGCCAGUUACCUUGGUUGUGGUCUAGCAGCUGGGAAUGACAGAGCUUGCCGGAGUUUUCGAUGAGAUGAUGGGUUCCCUAACAACAUAGUCUGAGACCGAGUUACCAUAUCAACCAUGGAUGGGGUUUGGUAAGCUUGCACAAGGCUUGUACUAUCAGUGGAAUCACCUCGUGCAGUUGCUCU
RNAcentral lists this unclassified non-coding RNA (355 nucleotides) under Hevea brasiliensis (rubber tree). Lineage: Eukaryota; Viridiplantae; Streptophyta; Magnoliopsida; Malpighiales; Euphorbiaceae. The record is from RNAcentral.